AAAACCCCUAAUUUCAAAAAGCUCUCAACUCUUCCCUCUAACACCAUGCAACCGCUACCCAUUAACCCAAGCCGACAACACCCCGACCACCGUCCAUCGAUGGCCUCCUCACUCCGAACGGCCUUGAUAAUCAUCGUGAGAGGCCUAACGGCCCCGAAUAGACCGAAAGCUCCCCUUUUCUCUAUUUCAUUCGAACCAAACCCCCAUGGACUCCAAAUCAACGUCCCGACCGUCGAACUUCAACGGUGGUUCACUCCCCGACCGCCACCUUAGGUAGCCGAGGAGACCAAACAAUGCCCAAAACUCCCUCCUUUUCACUUCGAACUUUCAAAACAGAACCCUAUAGGAACCUAAACCGAAUCCCUAAUCGUCUCUCAUAUCUCCAACUUCCUCCCCGAUGAUUUGACUCUGGCGAAACCUUCUAAGACCAAAGAUGAGGAGGUCUAGUUGGCUUCUGUGUUUUUGCUGGCGAGGAGAUGGGAGGCUUGCUUGGGACCACUCGUUGCAUGAGUUGGUUGUUGGUGUGGAGCCUGUUGGCUUUGGGGGAUUCAGUGGUCGUGGCUAAUGUGGAGCAAAGGGGCCAGUUAGGAUGUGAAGAGUUUGGACUGGCGGCUGAAACUCCUUCACAUGUUAGGGUUGUUUGAUUUUCGAAAACCCUAAAAUGUUGGGUUACGAGUUGGGCUUCGAUUUGGUUAAUUGUAUUGGGAUAAUGAAUAAAUGUUUGGAUUACAUUAGUUCUGGGUUAUAUAAUUGGGUUUGGAGUAAAAA
Molecule: long non-coding RNA, 768 nt
Organism: Hibiscus syriacus
Lineage: Eukaryota; Viridiplantae; Streptophyta; Magnoliopsida; Malvales; Malvaceae
Exons: 2
Source: RefSeq, a predicted model, not a curated record